GAGUUUGAUCUUGGCUCAGGAUGAACGCUGGCGGCGUGCUUAACACAUGCAAGUCGAACGAAGCGCCUUAUUUGAUUUUCUUCGGAACUGAAGAUUUGGUGACUGAGUGGCGGACGGGUGAGUAACGCGUGGGUAACCUGCCCUGUACAGGGGGAUAACAAUCAGAAAUGACUGCUAAUACCGCAUAAGACCACAGCACCGCAUGGUAGCAGGGGUAAAAACUCCGGUGGUACAGGAUGGA
RNAcentral lists this ribosomal RNA (241 nucleotides) under uncultured microorganism. RNAcentral's name for it is "partial 16S ribosomal RNA". It matches the Rfam family "Bacterial small subunit ribosomal RNA", at positions 9 to 229 of the family's 1533-position model. The record is from RNAcentral.